AUGGAGCUGCUAACGUGGAGGUUUGAGAUUGGAUUAAACAGGUGGGAAGGGGUCCACCCCCUGAAAAUCAGGUGGGGAGAGAGUUAUGGUUUUGGAAAAUUAAGUAAAACACUCGCGCAGUGCCAGAACUUCAGGGACAGACUCUACAACGAGACCAAUAUCAACUCCGGCUUCGCGACGUCGCUCAUAGCCAACUGCCCCCAGCCGACCGGCUCCGGUGACCGUAACCUGGCCAAUCUGGACGUGUCGACCCCGUACUCCUUUGACAACGCUUACUACAGCAAGCUCAAGUCCCAGAAAGGGCUCCUACACUCCGACCAGGUGCUCUUCACGGGCACAGGUGGCGGCACCGACAACACCGUCAACAACUUCGCAAGCAACCCAGCGGCGUUCAGCAGCGCCUUCGCCUCCGCCAUGGUAAAGAUGGGGAGCCCGUUGACUGGCUCUCAGUGCCAGGUCAGGAUCAGCUGCUCCAAGGAGAAUUAA
This 486-nucleotide ribosomal RNA is filed under the name Triticum aestivum (bread wheat). RNAcentral describes it as "partial small subunit ribosomal RNA". The record is from RNAcentral. Lineage: Eukaryota; Viridiplantae; Streptophyta; Magnoliopsida; Poales; Poaceae.